Molecule: ribosomal RNA, 253 nt
Filed under: uncultured bacterium
Lineage: Bacteria
Description: partial 16S ribosomal RNA
Rfam family: Bacterial small subunit ribosomal RNA
Source: RNAcentral
GACGUAGGGCGCGAGCGUUGUUCGGAUUUACUGGGCGUAAAGGGCGCGUAGGCGGCGUGACAAGUCACUUGUGAAAUCUCCGGGCUUAACUCGGAACGGUCAAGUGAUACUGUCGUGCUAGAGUACAGAAGGGGCAACUGGAAUUCUCGGUGUAGCGGUGAAAUGCGUAGAUAUCGAGAGGAACACCUGCGGCGAAGGCGGGUUGCUGGGCUGAUACUGACGCUGAGGCGCGAAAGCUAGGGGAGCGAACGGG